UGAUGUAGCUCAGUUGGCUAGAGCAGCUGAUUUGUAAUCAGCAGGUCGGGGGUUCGACUCCCUUCAUCA
Molecule: transfer RNA, 69 nt
Filed under: marine eukaryotic metagenome
Rfam family: tRNA
About the family: Transfer RNA (tRNA) molecules are approximately 80 nucleotides in length. Their secondary structure includes four short double-helical elements and three loops (D, anti-codon, and T loops). Further hydrogen bonds mediate the characteristic L-shaped molecular structure. tRNAs have two regions of fundamental functional importance: the anti-codon, which is responsible for specific mRNA codon recognition, and the 3' end, to which the tRNAs corresponding amino acid is attached (by aminoacyl-tRNA synthetases). tRNAs cope with the degeneracy of the genetic code in two manners: having more than one tRNA (with a specific anti-codon) for a particular amino acid; and 'wobble' base-pairing, i.e. permitting non-standard base-pairing at the 3rd anti-codon position.
Source: RNAcentral